CAGCCGCCGCGGUAAUACGAAGGGGGCUAGCGUUGCUCGGAAUCACUGGGCGUAAAGGGUGCGUAGGCGGGUCUUUAAGUCAGAGGUGAAAUCCUGGAGUUCAACUCCAGAACUGCCUUUGAUACUGAAAGUCUUGAGUAUGGGAGAGGUGAGUGGAACUGCGAGUGUAGAGGUGAAAUUCGUAGAUAUUCGCAAGAACACCAGUGGCGAAGGCGGCUCACUGGUCCGGUUCUGACGCUGAGGCACGAAAGCGUGGGGAGCAAACAGGAUUAGAUACCCCCGUAGUCCCUGUCUCUUAUAC
RNAcentral lists this ribosomal RNA (301 nucleotides) under uncultured bacterium. RNAcentral describes it as "partial 16S ribosomal RNA". It matches the Rfam family "Bacterial small subunit ribosomal RNA", at positions 509 to 807 of the family's 1533-position model. The record is from RNAcentral.